RNAcentral lists this ribosomal RNA (465 nucleotides) under uncultured bacterium. RNAcentral's name for it is "partial 16S ribosomal RNA". It matches the Rfam family "Bacterial small subunit ribosomal RNA", at positions 28 to 507 of the family's 1533-position model. The record is from RNAcentral.
GAUGAACGCUGGCGGCGUGCUUAACACAUGCAAGUCGAACGAUGAAGCCCAGCUUGCUGGGUGGAUUAGUGCGAACGGGUGAGUAACACGUGAGUAACCUGCCCUUGACUCUGGGAUAAGCCCGGGAAACUGGGUCUAAUACCGGAUAGGAGCGCCUGUCGCAUGACGGGUGUUGGAAAGAUUUUUCGGUCAUGGAUGGACUCGCGGCCUAUCAGCUUGUUGGUGAGGUAAUGGCUCACCAAGGCGACGACGGGUAGCCGGCCUGAGAGGGUGACCGGCCACACUGGGACUGAGACACGGCCCAGACUCCUACGGGAGGCAGCAGUGGGGAAUAUUGCACAAUGGGCGGAAGCCUGAUGCAGCGACGCCGCGUGAGGGAUGACGGCCUUCGGGUUGUAAACCUCUUUCAGUAGGGAAGAAGCGAAAGUGACGGUACCUGCAGAAGAAGCACCGGCUAACUACGUG